AAUUCUCAACGGUGGAUGUCUUGGUUCCCACAACGAUGAAGAACGCAGCGAAGUGCGAUAAGCAGUGCGAAUUGCAGAACCGUGAGUCAUCAGAUUUUUGAACGCAACUGGCGCCGUACGGUCUCCGUCGGCACGCCUGGUCCAGUAUCUUGUU
RNAcentral lists this ribosomal RNA (154 nucleotides) under Strombidium rassoulzadegani. RNAcentral describes it as "5.8S ribosomal RNA". It matches the Rfam family "5.8S ribosomal RNA". From Rfam's summary of the family: 5.8S ribosomal RNA (5.8S rRNA) is a component of the large subunit of the eukaryotic ribosome. It is transcribed by RNA polymerase I as part of the 45S precursor that also contains 18S and 28S rRNA. Functionally, it is thought that 5.8S rRNA may be involved in ribosome translocation. Lineage: Eukaryota; Ciliophora; Spirotrichea; Strombidiidae. The record is from RNAcentral.